GCAGUCGUAGCUCAGCUGGUUAGAGCGUCGGCUUGUGGCGCCGAAGGCCGGUGGUUCGAACCCACCCGACUGUACCA
RNAcentral lists this transfer RNA (77 nucleotides) under Hyphomicrobiales bacterium. Its description in RNAcentral is "tRNA-His". It matches the Rfam family "tRNA". Rfam says of the family: Transfer RNA (tRNA) molecules are approximately 80 nucleotides in length. Their secondary structure includes four short double-helical elements and three loops (D, anti-codon, and T loops). Lineage: Bacteria; Pseudomonadati; Pseudomonadota; Alphaproteobacteria; Hyphomicrobiales. The record is from RNAcentral.